UACGAAGGGGGCUAGCGUUGCUCGGAAUCACUGGGCGUAAAGGGUGCGUAGGCGGGUCUUUAAGUCGGGGGUGAAAUCCUGGAGCUCAACUCCAGAACUGCCUUUGAUACUGAAGAUCUUGAGUCCGGGAGAGGUGAGUGGAACUGCGAGUGUAGAGGUGAAAUUCGUAGAUAUUCGCAAGAACACCAGUGGCGAAGGCGGCUCACUGGCCCGGUACUGACGCUGAGGCACGAAAGCGUGGGGAGCAAACAGG
Molecule: ribosomal RNA, 253 nt
Filed under: uncultured bacterium
Lineage: Bacteria
Description: partial 16S ribosomal RNA
Rfam family: Bacterial small subunit ribosomal RNA
Source: RNAcentral